This 271-nucleotide ribosomal RNA is filed under the name uncultured archaeon. RNAcentral's name for it is "partial 16S ribosomal RNA". It matches the Rfam family "Archaeal small subunit ribosomal RNA", at positions 477 to 747 of the family's 1478-position model. The record is from RNAcentral.
CAGCGCCACGAGUGGGAAUCACAAUUAUUGGGCCUAAAGCGUUCGUAGCCGGUUUGGUAAAUCCUUUGUGAAAUCGUACAGCUUAACUGUGCGGCGUGCAUGGGAGACUGCCAAACUUGGGACCGGGAGGAGCUGGAGGUAUUCUGGGGGGAGCGGUAAAAUGCUAUAAUCCUCAGAGGACCACCUGUGGCGAAGGCGUCCAGCCAGAACGGAUCCGACGGUCAGGAACGAAAGCCAGGGGAGCGAUCCGGAUUAGAUACCCGAGUAGUCC